This 468-nucleotide ribosomal RNA is filed under the name Dehalococcoidia bacterium. Its description in RNAcentral is "bacterial SSU rRNA". It matches the Rfam family "Bacterial small subunit ribosomal RNA", at positions 1 to 489 of the family's 1533-position model. The record is from RNAcentral. Lineage: Bacteria; Bacillati; Chloroflexota; Dehalococcoidia.
AAAAGUGCGAGUUUGAUCCUGGCUCAGGAUAAACGCUGGCGGCGUGCCUUAUGCAUGCAAGUCGAACGGUCCUUCCCGCAAGGGAAGGAUAGUGGCGAACGGGUGAGUAACGCGUAAGUAACCUGCCCCUAAGUAGAGAAUAACUCUGAGAAAUUAGAGCUAAUACUGUAUGUGGUGGUGGGGGUAAUGCUUCAUCACUAAAGCCUUAGGGCGCUUAGGGAGGGGCUUGCGUCCGAUUAGCUAGUUGGUAGGGUAAUGGUCUACCAAGGCGAUGAUCGGUAGCUGGUUUGAGAGGACAUCCAGCCACACUGGGACUGAGAUACGGCCCAGACUCCUACGGGAGGCAGCAGCAAGGAAUUUUGCGCAAUGGGCGAAAGCCUGACGCAGCGACGCCGCGUGGGGGAUGACGGCCCUCGGGUUGUAAACCCCUUUUCUCGGGGAAGAAUAAUGACGGUACCUGAGGAAUAA